UGCUUUGGCUUUUGCGGUGGUUCUUUUAGGCUCAUUUUCUGGAAGUCUUGCAUCCAUCCAAAUUCUUUGAGUCCCCGGAAGUCAGUGUCUGAAGCUAGCAACUUGCUGCCUGAUCUUGGAAGUGGCUCCAAGGUCUGAUUGUUUAUGUGAAGGGGAGCGAAACAGAAACAAAAUUGGUUGAGUUUCAGAGAUUUCUGCCCUGCUUUGGACGGGGGGGCUGCCUGUCACAGUGAGUAGAGCCUGGUGUGGGAUUGUCAAAACACAGGCUUUGCUUUAACACCAGCCUGGAAACAACUGGAAGUGACCUGCUAUACUUAGGUUCCCCCAUCGAUACAACAGACAUGGGGAAGGUUGCUUAGUUUUAUUGUGAAUUGCUGUGACCUCUGUUGUUGAAAAGUGCUUAUAUGAAGUGUCCUGUUAUUAUGUUACUCACAUUUUGUUACUGUUACCAUCUGUACUCCAGAAUAUUGGCUCUGAAGGAUUAUCCUAGAGUGUAAAUCUAAAUCUGUGACCGCAAUAAACCAUAAUCUCUGUUUGCUGAUGACAGUUGCAUUGACAGAAGUAACCUUGGUGCCUUCAGUACAUCUUGUAAAUUGGGAAUUGGAACACAGCUCUCCACUGAGCUUUUUAUG
RNAcentral lists this long non-coding RNA (632 nucleotides) under Gallus gallus (chicken). Its description in RNAcentral is "long non-coding RNA NONGGAT005737". The record is from RNAcentral. Lineage: Eukaryota; Metazoa; Chordata; Aves; Galliformes; Phasianidae.